AUGCAUAUAAAAAGAAUGAUACGAUAGGUAAAAUAUAUGAGAUUAUGAGAAAUGCGAGAGCACUACUGCCUCCUUAGAGCCCUUGAAACACAAGGGCCUGGAGGCAUGCGCUAUGCAAAACAAUUAUCGCAGUGGCAUCCUCUCGAGAGAGGAGGCGCUACGAAUUCAUGGGACUAAUAACAUGUAAGACCACAUCUCUUAGAAAACGUAGCACUAUGUCUGUAUUAAAAAGCGGUUCUGGACCAAGAAGCAUUGCAGGAUGAAGAGGAAUGUGCUGUCGGUAUGCUAAUGAAAAAUGACUUUCUCUCAGAUUCGGCUUCCCGACACUCCAGGAGGACGUGGAGUACGGUCAGCCUCUCCCCGCAUCUACCACAGGUUGGAGGCUCACUUCCGGUAUCUGUUGUCCACACAUUUCUAAGCAAGGAUCCGGGACCAGGCCUCUCUUGUAAACAAAACACAAGAACUUUUAAGAGGAUUGAUUUUAAAUCCAUUUUUCUCUGCCCACCCUGACACCUUGUUCAAACCAUGCUGUACCUGUCUCUCGCACACUGCGAGGUUACAGGAUUUGAAACCUAUCUGAAUCUCGUCCACAUAGAUGGAAUACAAAAUGGCCGGUGGUAAGGAUGCACGAAGUGUUGUCAUCUUAACAAUAAAAAGUGUGCAACUGAGCACGCCACCCUGA
Non-coding RNA from Dermacentor andersoni, 682 nucleotides. The record is from RefSeq and is a predicted model, not a curated record. Lineage: Eukaryota; Metazoa; Arthropoda; Arachnida; Ixodida; Ixodidae.